UACGAAGGGGGCUAGCGUUGUUCGGAAUCACUGGGCGUAAAGCGCACGUAGGCGGAUUUGUAAGUCAGGGGUGAAAUCCCGGGGCUCAACCCCGGAACUGCCUUUGAUACUGCGAAUCUCGAGUCCGGAAGAGGUGAGUGGAAUUCCUAGUGUAGAGGUGAAAUUCGUAGAUAUUAGGAAGAACACCAGUGGCGAAGGCGGCUCACUGGUCCGGUACUGACGCUGAGGUGCGAAAGCGUGGGGAGCAAACAGG
RNAcentral lists this ribosomal RNA (253 nucleotides) under uncultured bacterium. RNAcentral's name for it is "partial 16S ribosomal RNA". It matches the Rfam family "Bacterial small subunit ribosomal RNA", at positions 524 to 776 of the family's 1533-position model. The record is from RNAcentral.